RNA transcript from Myxocyprinus asiaticus (Chinese sucker), 3391 nucleotides. It is a transcript of the gene named phosphatidylinositol-binding clathrin assembly protein-like, with no coding region annotated. The record is from RefSeq and is a predicted model, not a curated record. The transcript is spliced from 24 exons. NCBI's taxonomy places the organism in Eukaryota, Metazoa, Chordata, Actinopteri, Cypriniformes, Catostomidae.
UCUCAUGGAACAGCACAGGCCCGCCAUUUCACUCAAUGCCUUCGCUGCUUUCCAAUCCUGCGGGUUUACUAAAAUAACACAGGCGGCGGUUAAACGGCAGGAUUAGUGUCGAGACAGGUAUGACAGAUGAGUCAGCCAACGAACCUUUAGAACGCGCGUUUAAAAAGAGUAACAAUGUAACGAUUCCGCGGGAGAUAUUCAGUAACAUCAUUUCUGGAUUCCUCAUCGUCUCGCGCAGUGGAUGACUGUAUUCCAGAAGGCUUCCCAUCUUUGUCUCCCCGUGUACUCGUUGCGUACGCUAGGAGGUCGACCUGGAACUGUGAACGAGGGUGGCAACUGAGUAGCAUCACGAUUUUAAAUACACAUAUUUACUAUUCCUUACUUGAUCGCUGGAGAGCUUUGAAGAUGUCUGGGCAGAGCAUUACGGACAGGAUAACUGCUGCUCAGCACAGCGUUACUGGAUCAGCCGUGUCCAAAACAGUGUGCAAGGCAACAACGCACGAAAUUAUGGGCCCUAAAAAGAAACAUUUGGAUUAUCUAAUACACUGUACCAAUGAGAUGAAUGUGAACAUUCCUCAGCUGGCAGACUCUUUGUUUGAGAGGACCACCAACACCAGUUGGGUCGUCGUGUUUAAGUCCCUAAUCACAACACACCACCUCAUGGUAUACGGGAACGAGCGGUUUAUUCAGUACUUGGCCUCCAGGAACACAUUAUUCAACCUCAGUAAUUUCCUGGACAAAAGUGGUCUACAAGGUUACGAUAUGUCAACAUUCAUUCGGAGGUAUAGUCGAUAUCUGAAUGAAAAAGCGGUUUCAUAUCGACAGGUGGCAUUUGACUUUACAAAAGUAAAGCGUGGGGUGGAUGGAGUGAUGAGAACCAUGAACACAGAGAAGCUUCUUAAAACCAUUCCCAUUAUACAGAACCAGAUGGAUGCGCUUCUUGACUUUAAUGUCAAUGCCAAUGAGCUCACCAAUGGGGUUAUCAAUGCAGCUUUCAUGCUUCUCUUCAAAGACUCAAUCCGACUUUUUGCAGCUUACAAUGAGGGGAUAAUUAAUUUACUGGAAAAGUAUUUUGACAUGAAAAAAGUUCAGUGCAAAGAGGGCCUGGAUAUCUACAAGAAAUUUCUUACCCGAAUGACCCGGAUUUCAGAGUUUCUUAAAGUGGCAGAGCAAGUGGGAAUAGACCGUGGGGACAUACCUGACCUGUCCCAGGCCCCCAGCAGUCUUUUGGAUGCUCUGGAGCAACACUUGGCUUCAUUAGAAGGAAAGAAGGUUAAAGACUCCACUGCCGCCAGCAGGGCAAGCACACUCUCCAAUGCGGUGUCAUCUCUGGCCAACACUGGCAUGUCUUUCACCAAAGUGGAUGAAAGAGAAAAGCAGGCAGCUCUGGAAGAGGAGCAGGCACGAUUGAAAGCUCUAAAGGAACAGAGGCUGAAAGAGCUCUCCAAGAGGCCUUCAUUUGCUACAACUGACACUUCUCCAGUCUCCACCACAGCAGCAUGCAUCAGCACAGCUCCUGCCAUAGACCUGUUCUGCACUCCCAGCUGCUCCAAUGGUGCCCUGAAGAUGGAGAGUGACCUCUUUGACCUGCAGACUAACUUUCAGCCAAGCAUGCAGCCGGGACCCUCAGUGGCCACGGCAUGGGGAGAUCCUUUCUCUUCUUCUGAAGCUGUCGAUGACUCCAUUCCAAACCUAAACCCUUUCCUAACCAAACUUGUUGUUGAUGGUGCACAUCUACCCGUUAUGUCAUCCGAUGGUGUUAGUUUCUCCUCUAGGACGUCAGGUCAUGAGAUAUUUGGUGAUCAGUACAAUCCCUUUAUUGAUUCAAGUUCAUCUGUAUCAACCGAUUACAAACGCACUGUGCGGAUAGAGCACUUAAUCUCAGACUCGUUUGGUCAAGCGUCUAUGGUCCAGCAUCUCCCAAACCCCUCUCCCUUCCAGUCUGAGCCCUCCACUGUUGCAGGCCUAUUCAGAGGGUAUGGAGCUCCACAGAUGCCUCCUCCACAGAGUUCAGGGGAGCUGCACGUUGACUUUGAGUCUGUAUUUGGUACUAAAGCUGCCUCCUCUAAUAGCCUGGAUACAGAUGCAGGGAUUUUGAAACCCACUGUGGCUGGAGCAAAUCAGUCCUCCAAUCAGAACCCAGAGAAGCUGGUAUCAGAUGACCUGGAUUCUUCAUUGGCCAACCUUGUAGGAAGUAAAUGUCAAUUAUUCAGAGAUCUGGGUAUUGGAAAUGGUACCACUAAAAAUGAUAUCCAUUGGAACCAACCAGGAGAGAAAAAAAUGACUGGUGGAAUGAACUGGCAACCCAAGACUGCUCCAUCUACUACAUGGAACCCUGUCUCCAUGCCACCAUCUAUCAUGGCUUUCCCUGCUACAACACCUACAGGAAUGAUGGGCUACGGCAUGCCUCCACAGUUGCCUUCCAUGACCAUGACGACCCAACCCACAAUGAUGUACACACAGCCAGUUAUGAGGCCAUCCAACCCUUUCGGAUCAGUGUCCAGUGCACAGCCCUCCGCUGCCUCUAGCCCCUCCAGUCAGAGUCCUCUCAGAGCCCCAGGACAAGACCCCUUUGCACAGCUCUCUCUCAAGGAUUUCUUGUAGAGCUUCGUCUUUUGUCUAGACUGUCUUUGGUACACUGCCUUUCCAAGACGAAAAUGCUCAGCCAUGGCGUUGACUGCUGAUUUAACUCAUGAUGCAGUUUAUGUAACACAACAUGAAGUUGCUCCCUGAUGUCAAACCAUUAAGCUCUGUCCUCUGUGCUGGGAUGCUAUCCAGAGGACCAAUCCCACAACAUACUUAGCGUCAAAGAUGUAAACCAAGUGUGUUGAAAGACUGGGAGCCUACUGCAAUCAUUUCGUAAUUUGUUUAAGAUGUCAAGUGAUGCUGCUGUUCAACCCACAAAGGGAUUCCUCAUACAUUUAUAAUAUGUUAAGAUAGGUAAGGGCACCGAGAGACUUGGAUAUUUUGUGUUUUUGAGAAGCUCUAGUUUGAUUUUCCUGCUUGAAUUUUUUUUUUUCUUCAACCGGGAGCAUUUAAUGAGAGGUAAUGUGGUAAAAGUUUACCUAAAUCAGACUGUAACUCAGCAUCUGAUAUAGUAUAUGUUAUAAAAUAGUAUCAGUAACUUUAUUUUACAUUUGAUCUUUUAGUUAUGACUUCAGUUGUAUUCACCGGUAGACACUUCUUGCGUGUUGUUUGUAUUUAUUUAUGAUUAAUGCCUAAAAAAUAAAACAGGAGAGUGUAUGAAGUACAUUGGGGAGGGGAAACUAUAAACAAUUCAACAUUAUUCAUGGGUGUUGGAUUGUUUAAUGAAGGUUAGAUUUUUAAAGUAGAUUUUAUGUAUAAAAAAAAAAAAAAAACCUUUAAGGUAAAUGAUAGAGCACUAACUAUU